GUCCACGCCCUAAACCAUGUCAACUGGGUGUUGGGGAAGCGAUUCCCUAGUACCGCAGCUAACGCGUGAAGUUGACCGCCUGGGGAGUACGGCCGCAAGGUUAAAACUCAAAGGAAUUGACGGGGACCCGCACAAGCGGUGGAUGAUGUGGAUUAAUUCGAUGCAACGCGAACAACCUUACCUACCCUUGACAUGUGCCGGAGCCUGCUGAGAGGCGGGUGUGCCCGAAAGGGAACGGCAACACAGGUGCUGCAUGGCUGUCGU
This 264-nucleotide ribosomal RNA is filed under the name uncultured bacterium. RNAcentral's name for it is "partial 16S ribosomal RNA". It matches the Rfam family "Bacterial small subunit ribosomal RNA", at positions 793 to 1055 of the family's 1533-position model. The record is from RNAcentral.